GAUGAACGCUAGCUACAGGCUUAACACAUGCAAGUCGAGGGGAAACGAUAUUGGAAGCUUGCUUCCGAUAGGCGUCGACCGGCGCACGGGUGAGUAACGCGUAUCCAACCUGCCCACCACUUGGGGAUAACCUUGCGAAAGUAAGACUAAUACCCAAUGACGUCUCUAGAAGACAUCUGAAAGAGAUUAAAGAUUUAUCGGUAAAGGAUGGCGAUGCGUCCCAUUAGUUAGUUGGCGGGGUAACGGCCCACCAAGACGACGAUGGGUAGGGGUUCUGAGAGGAAGGUCCCCCACAUUGGAACUGAGACACGGUCCAAACUCCUACGGGAGGCAGCAGUGAGGAAUAUUGGUCAAUGGGCGAGAGCCUGAACCAGCCAAGUAGCGUGCAGGAUGACGGCCCUAUGGGUUGUAAACUGCUUUUAUAAGGGAAUAAAGUGAGCCUCGUGAGGCUUUUGCAUGUACCUUAUGAAUAAGGACCGGCUAAUUCCGUG
Molecule: ribosomal RNA, 491 nt
Filed under: uncultured bacterium
Lineage: Bacteria
Description: bacterial SSU rRNA
Rfam family: Bacterial small subunit ribosomal RNA
Source: RNAcentral